GACGAACGCUGGCGGCAUGCUUAACACAUGCAAGUCGAACGGGAAUGCCCUGCUGUUGUGGGUUGCUCGGGUGGCGGACGGGGGAGUGAGACGUGAAUAUCCUGCCCUGGACUUUGUGAUAGCUUCAGGCAACUGAUGCUACUAGCUGAUGUUAGCUCCUCGUGCGUGGUGGGCGAUGGAAAGUGUCGGCGGUCGGGGAUGGACUCGCGGCUUAUCAUCUUGGUGGUGGGGUAGUGGCUUACCAAGGCGUUGGCGGGUCGCCGGCCUGAGAGGGUGAACGGGCACACUGGGACUGAGAGACGGACCCGAUGCCUCUGGGAGGCAGAAGUGGGGAAUAUUGUACAAUGGGCGGAAGACUGAGGCAGAAACGCUGCGUGUGGGAUGACGGCCUUCGGGGUGUAAAAAGCUUUCGCCUGUGACGAAGAGUGAGUGACGGUAAUGGGAAAAGAAGCACCGGCUAAAUACGUG
RNAcentral lists this ribosomal RNA (468 nucleotides) under uncultured bacterium. Its description in RNAcentral is "partial 16S ribosomal RNA". It matches the Rfam family "Bacterial small subunit ribosomal RNA", at positions 28 to 507 of the family's 1533-position model. The record is from RNAcentral.